UACGUAGGGUGCAAGCGUUGUCCGGAAUUAUUGGGCGUAAAGAGCUUGUAGGCGGUUUGUCGCGUCUGCUGUGAAAUUUCGGGGCUCAACCCCGAACUUGCAGUGGGUACGGGCAGACUAGAGUGUGGUAGGGGAGAUCGGAAUUCCUGGUGUAGCGGUGAAAUGCGCAGAUAUCAGGAGGAACACCGGUGGCGAAGGCGGAUCUCUGGGCCGAUACUGACGCUGAGGAGCGAAAGCGUGGGGAGCGAACAGG
RNAcentral lists this ribosomal RNA (253 nucleotides) under uncultured bacterium. RNAcentral's name for it is "partial 16S ribosomal RNA". It matches the Rfam family "Bacterial small subunit ribosomal RNA", at positions 524 to 776 of the family's 1533-position model. The record is from RNAcentral.